RNAcentral lists this ribosomal RNA (618 nucleotides) under Bacillus sp. FJAT-4594. RNAcentral describes it as "bacterial SSU rRNA". It matches the Rfam family "Bacterial small subunit ribosomal RNA", at positions 63 to 661 of the family's 1533-position model. The record is from RNAcentral. Lineage: Bacteria; Bacillati; Bacillota; Bacilli; Caryophanales; Bacillaceae.
CGAGCGAAUGGAUUAAGAGCUUGCUCUUAUGAAGUUAGCGGCGGACGGGUGAGUAACACGUGGGUAACCUGCCCAUAAGACUGGGAUAACUCCGGGAAACCGGGGCUAAUACCGGAUAAUAUUUUGCGCUGCAUGGCGCGAAAUUGAAAGGCGGCUUCGGCUGUCACUUAUGGAUGGACCCGCGUCGCAUUAGCUAGUUGGUGAGGUAACGGCUCACCAAGGCAACGAUGCGUAGCCGACCUGAGAGGGUGAUCGGCCACACUGGGACUGAGACACGGCCCAGACUCCUACGGGAGGCAGCAGUAGGGAAUCUUCCGCAAUGGACGAAAGUCUGACGGAGCAACGCCGCGUGAGUGAUGAAGGCUUUCGGGUCGUAAAACUCUGUUGUUAGGGAAGAACAAGUGCUAGUUGAAUAAGCUGGCACCUUGACGGUACCUAACCAGAAAGCCACGGCUAACUACGUGCCAGCAGCCGCGGUAAUACGUAGGUGGCAAGCGUUAUCCGGAAUUAUUGGGCGUAAAGCGCGCGCAGGUGGUUUCUUAAGUCUGAUGUGAAAGCCCACGGCUCAACCGUGGAGGGUCAUUGGAAACUGGGAGACUUGAGUGCAGAAGAGGAAAG